AUUUUCUUUUUACUUUUUGAUGUUCCAGUUUUCCUAAUAGGCGCACAAGGGAUAUAUAUCAAAAUGGUCACUUACUAUAAUCUUUUCUUAAUACAAAAUGUUAUUUUGAUUUUUACAGUUUUAACAAUUAAAAAUAAUUUUCAUUUACCAUCUUACGAAUAGAUGUACGCACAUAGCAAUGAAAAUUUCAAUUAAGCUAUUAAAGUAUUUAAAUCGUAAUUAAUGGAUUAAAUUUAUAUUAAUAAUUAUAAUACAUCAAUAUUAGAAUGUAGAUUGUUGUUGACAAAAAUAUUUAUCUUUCAAAGUACGUAAGCUUUGAGGUGAAAAAAUAUGAAUAAGUAUGUCGCAAGGAAAAUAUUAUGGAUAAUUGCCAGCAAUGAUGUCAUAGAUCACGCCUUCCUUUUUCAUUUCUUUUACAAUUACAGCACGUUGUUAAUAAUAUGUAAUAAUAUAACGAUAAUUCAGUAACAACAUUAAAAAAAAAUUUAGUCCUAUAAAUAAAUACAAAGGAAUUGGAGUUAAAUACAGAAAGGAAAUGUGGUCCCCUGACGACUUGUCAAUCGAAGAAAAUAGCGGCAAACGCUUUACUUGAAAUGCUAUAUGAACACUAUGACAUUAAAGCAGAAGACGUAGAUAUUGAAGAAUGCCUUGCUUGUACAGAAAAUAUGUGUAACGAAGUUAAAGAGAAAAGAAGCGUAAAAUCAUUUGAAGAUAUAAAAUUUGCCUUAAAGGAUCUGUAUCCUUCGGAUAUCGUUGAUAGGAAUUAUGAUGACAUCAACAGCGGUGAAAUCCCGACAUUGGAAAAAAAAAA
Molecule: long non-coding RNA, 811 nt
Organism: Agrilus planipennis (emerald ash borer)
Lineage: Eukaryota; Metazoa; Arthropoda; Insecta; Coleoptera; Buprestidae
Exons: 2
Source: RefSeq, a predicted model, not a curated record